Molecule: long non-coding RNA, 359 nt
Organism: Lates calcarifer (barramundi perch)
Lineage: Eukaryota; Metazoa; Chordata; Actinopteri; Centropomidae
Exons: 3
Source: RefSeq, a predicted model, not a curated record
ACUGCAUCACAGAUCAUAUUCAGACACAACAGUUUAGUGGCCACUGACCGCUGAGUCCUGUGAUGACUCCUGCUGCUUCUUGAGCUCAGCCAGCUGUCUCUCCAUGUGAGAUCUCCUCCUUCAGAGCAUCAAGCUCUCUCUGCAGAAAAGCAAAUGCAGAAAAAUAAAAUGGUCAUGAAUACUGCAGAUCUCUGGGAGUAAAAGAGCAAAGAGCUCUUUAUGGGCCUCCGUCUGUCUCGCUGCAUGCAGAACAGCUGCUCUGUGACCCUCCAUCUUGUUUCGGUAGGUGUUGAACCCUGCCUGUGCCAUGCGGGCGCUCUCCUCCUCCUCGCAGAUAUGAUUCUGGAGUUCAGUAUUGU